RNAcentral lists this ribosomal RNA (406 nucleotides) under uncultured bacterium. RNAcentral describes it as "partial 16S ribosomal RNA". It matches the Rfam family "Bacterial small subunit ribosomal RNA", at positions 30 to 526 of the family's 1533-position model. The record is from RNAcentral.
AUUGAACGCUGGCGGCAGGCCUAACACAUGCAAGUCGAACGAGUGGCGGACGGGUGAGUAAUGUCUGGGAAACUGCCUGAUGGAGGGGGAUAACUACUGGAAACGGUAGCUAAUACCGCAUACCAUCAGAUGUGCCCAGAUGGGAUUAGCUAGUAGGGGGGGUAACGGCCAACCUCGGCGACGAUCCCUAGCUGGUCUGAGAGGAUGAUCAGUCUCACUGGAACUGAGACACGGGCCAGACUCCUACGGGAGGCAGCAGUGGGGAAUAUUGCACAAUGGGCGCAAGCUUGAUGCAGCCAUGCCGCGUGUAUGAAGAAGGCCUUCGGGUUGUAAAGUACUUUCAGCGGGGAGGCGUUACCCGCAGAAGAAGCACCGGCUAACUCCGUGCCAGCAGCCGCGGUAAUAC